UACAGAGGGGGCAAGCGUUAUUCGGAAUUAUUGGGCGUAAAGGGCGCGUAGGCGGCUUUUCAAGUGACGGGUGAAAUCCCUCGGCUUAACCGAGGAACUGCCUGUCAGACUGGAAGGCUUGAGACCGGGAGAGGUGAGUGGAAUUCCCAGUGUAGCGGUGAAAUGCGUAGAUAUUGGGAGGAACACCAGUGGCGAAGGCGGCUCACUGGACCGGAACUGACGCUGAGGCGCGAAAGCUAGGGGAGCGAACGGG
RNAcentral lists this ribosomal RNA (253 nucleotides) under uncultured bacterium. RNAcentral describes it as "partial 16S ribosomal RNA". It matches the Rfam family "Bacterial small subunit ribosomal RNA", at positions 524 to 776 of the family's 1533-position model. The record is from RNAcentral.